Molecule: transfer RNA, 76 nt
Filed under: soil metagenome
Also listed under: 1 other name
Rfam family: tRNA
About the family: Transfer RNA (tRNA) molecules are approximately 80 nucleotides in length. Their secondary structure includes four short double-helical elements and three loops (D, anti-codon, and T loops).
Source: RNAcentral
GAGGACGUAGGCAAAUCGGUUAGCCGCCAGCCCUUCAAGCUGAAAAUUGCGGGUUCGAGUCCCGUCGUCCUCGCCA